GACGAACGCUGGCGGCGUGCUUAACACAUGCAAGUCGAACGAUGAUGCCCUGCUUGCAGGGUGGAUUAGUGGCGAACGGGUGAGUAACACGUGGGUGAUCUGCCUCGUACUUCGGGAUAAGCCUGGGAAACUGGGUCUAAUACCGGAUAGGACCUUCCUUUAGUGUGGAAGGUGGAAAGUUUUUUCGGUACGAGAUGAGCCCGCGGCCUAUCAGCUUGUUGGUGGGGUAAUGGCCUACCAAGGCGACGACGGGUAGCCGGCCUGAGAGGGUGUACGGCCACGUUGGGACUGAGACACGGCCCAAACUCCUACGGGAGGCAGCAGUGGGGAAUCUUGCACAAUGGGCGAAAGCCUGAUGCAGCGACGCCGCGUGGGGGAUGACGGCCUUCGGGUUGUAAACCCCUUUCGCUAGGGAAGAAGCCACUUUGUGGUGACGGUACCUGGAUAAGAAGCACCGGCUAACUACGUGCCAGCCGCCGCAGUAA
Molecule: ribosomal RNA, 485 nt
Filed under: uncultured bacterium
Lineage: Bacteria
Description: partial 16S ribosomal RNA
Rfam family: Bacterial small subunit ribosomal RNA
Source: RNAcentral